GAAGGAGUUGGUCCUUGUAUAGCUUCUGCUUCUCCCGCGGCUGCUUAGGGAUGCCCUGGACGUUAAGCUUCAGCUCGAACACCGUGCUCGACUCCUUGACUUCAGUGAAGAUGGUGGUCUUAUGGCUCCCGAUCAUGAGAAACGCGUCCUGAAGACACCAGGCUGACAUCAGUGCUUGUCUGAAGCAACCUGCCGGGCCCCAGAGCCCCUGAAGCCCCACCCCCCCGCCAGCCCUGCGCCGCUCCUCCGGUGCCCGCUCACCUAUGUUUUAUCUUUGAUGUUAUAUGCAUCGGUGUUUUGCUUGCAUGUCUGUCUGCCUGGGUGCGGUUAUCAGAUGUCCUGGAACUGGUUAUGGACAAUUUUUGAGCUGCCAUGUAGGUGCUUGGAAUUGAACCCAGGUCUUCUGGAAGAGCAACCAGUGCCGCUAACCACUGAGCCAUCUCUAGAGCCCCUGCUUGGUUUUUUGUUUUGUUUUUUGUUUUUUUCUUGAUCACUGAAAGUUUCUCCGCUCCAGUGACCAGCAUCAAGUAUCACAGCAAAGCAAAGGUUUCAUCUAGUGGCCUGGUAUCUUGUGAACCACAGCUGAUUCUCCAAACCUCACUUAAUCAGAACCACCAGGAAGGAUCUUGGCAAGACCGGAGAGCCUGCUGAUACUCAGGAUUACUUUUGGCUGAAAGACUAUUUCUCUACACAUUAGAAUGGCUAUUCCAUCAUGCUUCUUGGGUUAGCCUGCACCUACAAUCUUUGUCCAUCGCUUUAUUCUGAGAUCUGGUUCCAGAACUGAUGUGCUAGAGAGUACCAGAAGAAGGCUCAAAAACUACCCGGGAAGC
Molecule: long non-coding RNA, 830 nt
Filed under: Mus musculus (house mouse)
Lineage: Eukaryota; Metazoa; Chordata; Mammalia; Rodentia; Muridae
Description: mitochondrial sheath formation associated divergent transcript
Source: RNAcentral